GCGCCUGUAGCUCACUUGGAUAGAGUGCAACCCUCCGAAGGUUGAGGCAGCUGGUUCGAAUCCAGCCAGGCGCG
Molecule: transfer RNA, 74 nt
Filed under: Cocleimonas flava
Lineage: Bacteria; Pseudomonadati; Pseudomonadota; Gammaproteobacteria; Thiotrichales; Thiotrichaceae
Rfam family: tRNA
About the family: Transfer RNA (tRNA) molecules are approximately 80 nucleotides in length. Their secondary structure includes four short double-helical elements and three loops (D, anti-codon, and T loops).
Source: Rfam by way of RNAcentral